This is a long non-coding RNA of Nicotiana attenuata, 1271 nucleotides long. RefSeq lists it as uncharacterized. The transcript is spliced from 3 exons. The record is from RefSeq and is a predicted model, not a curated record. NCBI's taxonomy places the organism in Eukaryota, Viridiplantae, Streptophyta, Magnoliopsida, Solanales, Solanaceae.
GAUUUUGAACUUCGAAUUUUCGGUUUGCAAGCAUGGAGAUUGCUUGAGGUGUUCAAGUUCGAGUUUCAAAUUGCUGUCCGCUGGUGAAUUUCGGUCGUGGUUCCUUGUUUGAAGUUGUUUCUGUUUUCUCACUUGGAUUUCAGCAUGGGGAUUGCUUGAGGUGUUCAAGUUCGAGUUUCAAAUUGCUGUCCGCUGGUGAAUUUCGGUCGUGGUUCCUUGUUUGAAGUUGUUUCUGUUUUCUCACUUGGAUUUCGGGUUCAAAGCUUUGUUGUCGAACCUCUUACCUUCUGCUAUUUAGAAGAAAUUUUCGAUUCUCAGUGGUCUUGCAUCGAUUCAUAUCAGUUCUUUGACUACAAAUGAAAGACAAUUUCAAGCAACCAUAUACUUGAUACCUAUUUGAUCAUUUAAACUCUUUGGUUGAAUCUAAGUGCCAACUGAGUUCUGAACUUGUUCUUUGGUGUUCACUGAUCGUUGUCGGCACGGUCAGUUUGACUCGGCAUUUAGAAAUGUUACAACUCCUUGCUAAGUUUUAGUCGGAUCGUAUUAUAAAUUAGUUCAGUUCGUACCCUAUUGCGAGGCUUGUUUCUUCCCUGUCGUGAUGUACAUGUUUGGUCGUUGGUGUUAGUUAUAGUUCAACUCUCUCUUACAGUCUUGUUAUCUCUCCAAUAAAUGUGUCCACACGGAUAUUUAAUCCAUCUCUCUGGUUGAGCUAAGCUGGUAACGAUGAAUUUUGUCAAGAAUAUAGCAGUUACUGUCUUCCAAACAUUUCUGUGCUUACAUAUGCGUCUCAGCAUCAAAUAAAAGACCGAAUUCUUCUUUCGUUUUUCUGCUGAUUGAAUUGAGUUACCCUUUUACCUAGAAAAGAAAAGGGAAAUUUGGUUCCCGGAUAGUCAUUGUUGUAAGAUUGCUUGGUAUCCUUGGGUAAUGUUAAUGUUGCCAAGAAAUUCGACUCACUAAAUUGGAACGUUGGUGAACUUGGUUUAAAUUUUGGCUUCUUUUCCCAAUGGCUGGAGAGUUUGCAUCUGUUGAAGGAUAGCUUUGUGUUUUGUUGAUCUAAUGACCUGUUAUAAGGACUAAUUCAUUUUCUCAAGUCCCCAUGUUAAUUAAGUUUGGUACAAAGUGCUUUUCUAUGUGAGCAUUUUCUUUUUUUCUGAGGUUCAUAACUCGGAAUUCAUGAUUUUGAGCAUGUAAACAUGUGUGUUUCUGAUAGCUGGAAGGUCGGGAAUUGAGAACUGAGGUGCAUAAAUGUGUUUAAUGGAAUUUUAGGUGGC